GAUGAACGCUGGCGGCGUGCCUAAUACAUGCAAGUCGAGCGAACAGACGAGGAGCUUGCUCCUCUGACGUUAGCGGCGGACGGGUGAGUAACACGUGGAUAACCUACCUAUAAGACUGGGAUAACUUCGGGAAACCGGAGCUAAUACCGGAUAAUAUAUUGAACCGCAUGGUUCAAUAGUGAAAGACGGUUUUGCUGUCACUUAUAGAUGGAUCCGCGCCGCAUUAGCUAGUUGGUAAGGUAACGGCUUACCAAGGCAACGAUGCGUAGCCGACCUGAGAGGGUGAUCGGCCACACUGGAACUGAGACACGGUCCAGACUCCUACGGGAGGCAGCAGUAGGGAAUCUUACGCAAUGGGCGAAAGCCUGACGGAGCAAGGCCGCGUGAGUGAUGAAGGUCUUCGGAUCGUAAAACUCUGUUAUUAGGGAAGAACAAAUGUGUAAGUAACUAUGCACGUCUUGACGGUACCUAAUCAGAAAGCCACGGCUAACUACGUG
RNAcentral lists this ribosomal RNA (497 nucleotides) under uncultured bacterium. Its description in RNAcentral is "partial 16S ribosomal RNA". It matches the Rfam family "Bacterial small subunit ribosomal RNA", at positions 28 to 507 of the family's 1533-position model. The record is from RNAcentral.